UCACAUUAAUUGAACCCGUACAUGGAACCGUGGCUUAACUUUUCCUCAAUGUGCGGAUUCUGUCCUUAAUUCCGGUUGGAUGGGGCGACUGGUAAAUUCUGAUAAAUUAGGUCUGUAGAAUAUCAUUUUCUUUCUUUCCGUCUGUUAGCCAUAUGUUGUCUCCUUUGCGCGACUUCUAAUCCGACCUGGUACACAACAUAUGCAACUCUAUUUCUCUGCAGGAUAUAUAUAUAUAUAUGUGUGAAAUAUACUAGUGAAAUACUUCUCAUCUGUAAGCCAUAUGCUGUCUCUUUUGCGCGACUUCUAAUCCGACCUGGUACACAGCAUAUGCAACCUUCUUCUUCUCAACCCCUCUGAAGUAAUUAGCAAUAGAAUUCUGAAUCUAUUCUCUCUUUGAAUGGUUGUCUGCUCACCCGGUGUAAGGAGUACUCUGGAAGUUCUUGAUGGCUGGGGCAUAUCAGGAAGCGGGAAACACGUUCCAGUACACUUAAAAUUGAACUCAUACAGAUUGUCUGUAGAUCUCGCUGCUCGAUUUAGGUGGACAACAAUAUCCCUGGUUGUAGUCAGUUAAAUGGUCAUAAGGUGAAUUUAUUUAAGAUUUAGGAGUUAUCAUAAUUACAGAAAUUUACAAUUACAUAUAUGCCUGAAUCAUGUCAUUGGUAAAAUGUCCAAAACUGUC
Molecule: long non-coding RNA, 679 nt
Filed under: Lactuca sativa (garden lettuce)
Lineage: Eukaryota; Viridiplantae; Streptophyta; Magnoliopsida; Asterales; Asteraceae
Description: long non-coding RNA (LSAT_LNC009835)
Source: RNAcentral